Molecule: ribosomal RNA, 467 nt
Filed under: uncultured bacterium
Lineage: Bacteria
Description: partial 16S ribosomal RNA
Rfam family: Bacterial small subunit ribosomal RNA
Source: RNAcentral
GACGAACGCUGGCGGCGUGCUUAACACAUGCAAGUCGAACGGAAGGCCCUGCUUUUGUGGGGUGCUCGAGUGGCGAACGGGUGAGUAACACGUGAGUAACCUGCCCUUGACUUUGGGAUAACUUCAGGAAACUGGGGCUAAUACCGGAUAGGAGCUCCUGCUGCAUGGGGGGGGUUGGAAAGUUUCGGCGGUUGGGGAUGGACUCGCGGCUUAUCAGCUUGUUGGUGGGGUAGUGGCUUACCAAGGCUUUGACGGGUAGCCGGCCUGAGAGGGUGACCGGCCACAUUGGGACUGAGAUACGGCCCAGACUCGUACGGGAGGCAGCAGUGGGGAAUAUUGCACAAUGGGCGGAAGCCUGAUGCAGCAACGCCGCGUGCGGGAUGACGGCCUUCGGGUUGUAAACCGCUUUCGCCUGUGACGAAGCGUGAGUGACGGUAAUGGGUAAAGAAGCACCGGCUAACUACGUG